This 455-nucleotide ribosomal RNA is filed under the name Paraburkholderia sp. Its description in RNAcentral is "bacterial SSU rRNA". It matches the Rfam family "Bacterial small subunit ribosomal RNA", at positions 534 to 989 of the family's 1533-position model. The record is from RNAcentral. Lineage: Bacteria; Pseudomonadati; Pseudomonadota; Betaproteobacteria; Burkholderiales; Burkholderiaceae.
GCAAGCGUUAAUCGGAAUUACUGGGCGUAAAGCGUGCGCAGGCGGUCCGCUAAGACAGAUGUGAAAUCCCCGGGCUUAACCUGGGAACUGCAUUUGUGACUGGCGGGCUAGAGUAUGGCAGAGGGGGGUAGAAUUCCACGUGUAGCAGUGAAAUGCGUAGAGAUGUGGAGGAAUACCGAUGGCGAAGGCAGCCCCCUGGGCCAAUACUGACGCUCAUGCACGAAAGCGUGGGGAGCAAACAGGAUUAGAUACCCUGGUAGUCCACGCCCUAAACGAUGUCAACUAGUUGUCGGGUCUUCAUUGACUUGGUAACGUAGCUAACGCGUGAAGUUGACCGCCUGGGGAGUACGGUCGCAAGAUUAAAACUCAAAGGAAUUGACGGGGACCCGCACAAGCGGUGGAUGAUGUGGAUUAAUUCGAUGCAACGCGAAAAACCUUACCUACCCUUGACAUGU